Cyprinus carpio carpio is the source of this 1497-nucleotide long non-coding RNA. Lineage: Eukaryota; Metazoa; Chordata; Actinopteri; Cypriniformes; Cyprinidae. The record is from Ensembl.
GCUUGCAGUAUUUAUUGCCCGCUGCCGUACAGUUCACCUGUCAGUGUAAAGGUAUGAAAAAAGUUCAUCUGUCAUAUCUCGUUUAUGAUUCGUUUGCAUGUUGUAAAUGUUACUGUUUUUAUAUGGAGUCGUCACGCCGCUGCCAUAAGAAAAUGGCGGAUUUCACAGAUCAGACCUUUUUACCUUUGAUGAACCUCUGGAUAUAAGUGACAAUAAUCAUUUAUAAGCGCUGUUCUCAGCACAAAGAUCCCUGGACUGGAUCUUCAGAGUCAUUGUUGGAGAAUGUACUACUAUGUACUAUGUGUACUACUCGUUGUACAAAAGGAAGUUUUUCCUUGCCGCUGUCGCUUUUGGCUUGCUCACGGGGGUAUGAAGGCACUGUAAAGCUGUUGAUGUGUGAUUGCAUGUUUUGCUGCAUGUUAUAUCAAAUCUGUGACACAAAUGCCAAUGUUUGGCUUGGUUGAGAAGAUAAUCAAGCAUCAUUUUUGGCUCACAUCAGGGCGAGAUCAUAGAUACUUCAUACUUGCGUGUCCAUGUGAUCUCCUUCCAUCAUCAUCUCGUUCAUGUGCAUUUUCCGAUGACGAAAUUUCUUGCAUCAUCUUUUGCUCACAUCGGCGCAAUAUUGUUCUUCAUUUCAUGUUUGAUUUAUCUGUGUUUUAUACUUGCACAUCCACGUCAUCUCCUGAUAUUAUGGAGGACCCCAGUGGAGCCAAAGUGUUGGAGGGUCCAGACGCAGCCAAAGGCCCAGAAGUCCAUGUUGGAGCCAACAUCCCUCGCCCCGAAAGACCAAGGCAGAGCCAUAGAGACGAAUGACACCAGCAGAGCCAGAGGAAUCACAGAGUCAUCAUCUUGUUCAUGUGCAUUUUAUUAUUUUGGAUUAUUUUGCGUGUAUAUUUGGCUCAUAUAGGAGUGAGGUAGUUCUCCUUCUCAUGUUUCAGUCAUUGUAUUUUCAUAUUUGCAUAUAUCUCCACAUAUUUUUCUGCUUUCCAGCGUCUCCUUCAUGUGCACUUUCUUAUUUUAGAUUUUUUUUUGUGUGUCAUCUUUGACUCACUUCGGAGUAAUAUAGUUCUUCCUCUUAUCUUUGAGUCAUCAGUGUUUUAUACUUACAUCUUUGCAUCAUCUCCUUAAAUUUCUUGUCUUCUUGUUUUUUUUUUUACAUCAUCUUUGGCUCACAUCAGGCUGAGAUAUUUCUCCCUCUAAUGUUUGAGUCUUGCGUAUUUAUGAAUCGUGUAAUUUCCAAAUAUUCAGCAUCUCCUCAUCUGAAUCUCGUUCAAGCAGUUUUUUAUUUUGAAUUUUCUCAUGUCAUCUUUGGCUCAUAUCGGAUGACUCAUGUUGAGUCAUCAUACUUGGGGUUUUCUACUUUUCAACAUUUUCUUCAUGUGCAUAUUCCUAUUUUGAAUUUUUCUUGCGUCAUAUUUGGCUCACAUCAGGGUGAGAUAUUUUUCCCAAUCAUGUUCGAAUCUUAUAAUUGUGUUUCCCUUUCAUAGGUCACUUCGA